Molecule: long non-coding RNA, 492 nt
Organism: Suricata suricatta (meerkat)
Lineage: Eukaryota; Metazoa; Chordata; Mammalia; Carnivora; Herpestidae
Exons: 3
Source: RefSeq, a predicted model, not a curated record
AGUGACCUGCCAAUAUCAUACAGCAGGUUCUUGGCAGAGCCAACUCUUUAAACCGGGUUUGCCGGCUCCACUGGCUGCAUCGUGGGGCUUGGUGACCCUUGGUGCUCCACAGAGGGCCACCGAAUGAGCUUCGUGGAGCUUUAAGCAUCAUCGCUGGAGGAGACAGCUCUUGUUUCAGUCCUCCCGGGCCGCCUCACAUUCCGGAGACACAAACUAACCAGAAGAAGUGGGGGAGAGAUAGGCCCAGAAGGCAGACAUCACUGAUAUUUCCAGGAGACCGUGGGAGUCAUCAAUGUUUGGGAGAGGCCGUGGGAUCAUACGGAGAGUCUCUCUUAGCCUAAUUUGAGUGUCCACAAUUGCAAAAGCCAGGGUUGCUGGGAGGAGAAGCUGAGCUCCGGGGCAUAGAAGCUCUUGAUAAGCUAUAAAAUCUGCAUGCAAGGCCACCUGGGUGGCUUAGUCCAUUGAGCGUCUGACUUUGGCUCAGGUCAUGAU